Molecule: ribosomal RNA, 773 nt
Filed under: bacterium 20_xplvp148
Lineage: Bacteria
Also listed under: 1 other name
Description: bacterial SSU rRNA
Rfam family: Bacterial small subunit ribosomal RNA
Source: RNAcentral
ACACAUGCAGUCGAACGAUGAAGCCAGCUUGCUGGUGGAUUAGUGGCGAACGGGUGAGUAACACGUGAGUAACCUGCCCUUGACUCUGGGAUAAGCCUGGGAAACCGGGUCUAAUACUGGAUACGACCUUCCCACGCAUGUGGUGUUGGUGGAAAGCUUUUGUGGUUUUGGAUGGACUCGCGGCCUAUCAGCUUGUUGGUGGGGUAAUGGCCUACCAAGGCGACGACGGGUAGCCGGCCUGAGAGGGUGACCGGCCACACUGGGACUGAGACACGGCCCAGACUCCUACGGGAGGCAGCAGUGGGGAAUAUUGCACAAUGGGCGCAAGCCUGAUGCAGCGACGCCGCGUGAGGGAUGAAGGCCUUCGGGUUGUAAACCUCUUUCAGUAGGGAAGAAGCUGAUCUUUUGGGUUGGUGACGGUACCUGCAGAAGAAGCGCCGGCUAACUACGUGCCAGCAGCCGCGGUAAUACGUAGGGCGCAAGCGUUAUCCGGAAUUAUUGGGCGUAAAGAGCUCGUAGGCGGUUUGUCGCGUCUGCCGUGAAAGUCCGGGGCUUAACCCCGGAUCUGCGGUGGGUACGGGCAGACUAGAGUGCAGUAGGGGAGACUGGAAUUCCUGGUGUAGCGGUGAAAUGCGCAGAUAUCAGGAGGAACACCGAUGGCGAAGGCAGGUCUCUGGGCUGUAACUGACGCUGAGGAGCGAAAGCAUGGGGAGCGAACAGGAUUAGAUACCCUGGUAGUCCAUGCCGUAAACGUUGGGCACUAGGUGUGGGGG